Long non-coding RNA from Passer domesticus (house sparrow), 1632 nucleotides. RefSeq lists it as uncharacterized. The record is from RefSeq and is a predicted model, not a curated record. The transcript has 2 exons. Lineage: Eukaryota; Metazoa; Chordata; Aves; Passeriformes; Passeridae.
UGGAUACAGUAUGGAAAUCCUCAACCAAAAACUUACUGAAGUCUCAUUUUAAUGUAAUCAUCCAGGCUUACUCCACUAAACAAUGUGUUUAUUGGAUUUGGAUGGAAGAUGAGGCAAGAAUCAAACUGAUCCUGUGGAAUAUUGGUUAAGACUGCAUAGCUUUGGGUAAAUAUCCCUAAUUGUGAAUGUUAAUUGUAUGCACUUUUCAAUAUGUGAUUGAUUCACAGCCAUCAUGAGCAUCAAACAAAUCAGCUGGAGAGCAGUAGCUGUUUGAUAUGAAACAUCGAAUCAACAUUGUGUCAUGACCUUUUGCUUUCUGAAGUAUCAGGGAGCCAAGAAACAAAGUAAACUGUGUGCCCCACACUGCAGUGCAUCCCUGGUGCUUGGCUUAUUUGGCAUCAAAUUACCAAGUGGGAAUGAUAAAUAAUAAUAAAGAAUAAAACCUGAGGCACCACUUGGGAUGUGUUGUCCCGGGACAAAAAGAUUCUCCCUAAUUCUCUUUCUGUGUGUCCCUAUUGCUGCUAAACCCCAGCAGACAGACUAAUUCAGCAUGUGUUAUCAAUGAUCUAUCCUAAUUAUCGUUUACCUCCCCACAGGUUAAUUAAGGUGCUGAGUAAUGUGGUUUUCACUUUUGCCACAUAGCAGGGUCACAGCAGCUUUGUCUGUAAUCAGAUUUACCCGUCUGUGACUAUUUCCAAAAGAAGUCCCUGGAGUGAUUCAAGAAGUCACUUGAAAUGAUUCCAUGAAGAGAGAAUGGGAUAACUAUAAUAUUUACUUCUUCCUGUUUGCCAGGCCAAAAGGAGCUGGAAAGGAAAGGAGGAAUGCAAGCAGGUAUUCAGGAGUGCUGCUCCUCAUGUCAGGACAUUUUCUGCCACCAGCCCACCAGGACAGCUGGUGACAUUUCACUGGGGAUGUUCCAGAGCCUUCUGGCCACAAUCCUGUGCUCUGGGAUGACCUUGCUGGAGCAGGGACCAUGGACCCACUGUGGCCCAUUCUGGGAUUCUGUGAAACCAAGGCCAGCCAAGGACUGGAGGAGAGUUCCCAUUCCCUUGAAAUUCCCUCAUCCUAGUCCAGGCUUGGGGGAUUGCUGGACUGGAACAGAAUAGGCUGCUCAACCCUUGUCGUGAGAGGACUCAGCGCCUUGGAAUUACAGCUGGGAAAUGCCUUUGGAAAAACAGAGGAUGUGCUGGAGGAAGAUAGUGUUGUCUCUCUGGCCUGGCAGGUUUGCAUAGGUUUGGGACUUUUUUUUUCCAUUAAGAUGAGAGAUGGAUUAUAUUAUUUGGAGGGAGGUAUUCCUUGGAAAACUCAUGAUUUCCUCGCAUGCCAUGUCUGUGAUGUUCUGUUGCUAUGACCUCAAAAGAAACAAACAGCUCCCUUGUCAAAAAGCCUCCAGCUCUCUUGAGCAGGCUGUGUCCCAAGAGGUCUGACUGUCUCCCUCCUCCUGAGGGUGUCUCCUGCUCCUUCCUUCAGGAUUUCUCCUUAGGUCUUUGUUUCCUUUCCUUUAUGUAGGUCUGUGAUGGUCUGGUAGAUCUCAGAGUCAGGCCACAGCUUCCAAAGUAAUCAUGGGUUUAUAAUAUUCUGGGAGGCAAAAGAUUUUAGCUUGGGAGUAAAACAAGAUGAUAUUUUUACUGA